RNAcentral lists this ribosomal RNA (253 nucleotides) under uncultured bacterium. RNAcentral describes it as "partial 16S ribosomal RNA". It matches the Rfam family "Bacterial small subunit ribosomal RNA", at positions 524 to 776 of the family's 1533-position model. The record is from RNAcentral.
CACGUAGGGUGCGAGCGUUGUCCGGAAUUAUUGGGCGUAAAGAGCGUGUAGGCGGUCCGGUAAGUCGGCUGUGAAAGUCCAGGGCUCAACCCUGGGAUGCCGGUCGAUACUGCCGGACUAGAGUUCGGAAGAGGCGAGUGGAAUUCCCGGUGUAGCGGUGAAAUGCGCAGAUAUCGGGAGGAACACCGGUGGCGAAGGCGGCAUCCUGGACCAACACUGACACUGAGGAGCGAAAGCCAGGGGAGCAAACGGG